This 327-nucleotide ribosomal RNA is filed under the name uncultured eukaryote. Its description in RNAcentral is "partial 18S ribosomal RNA". It matches the Rfam family "Eukaryotic small subunit ribosomal RNA", at positions 1470 to 1796 of the family's 1831-position model. The record is from RNAcentral.
CCCUUAGAUGUUCUGGGCCACACGCGCGUUACACUGAUGAAGCCAGCGAGUAUAUCGCCUUCACCGGAAGGUGCGGGUAAUCUUGUGAAACUUCAUCGUGCUGGGGAUAGACCAUUGCAAUUAUUGGUCUUGAACGAGGAAUUCCUAGUAAGCAUGAGUCAUCAACUCGUGCUGAUUACGUCCCUGCCCUUUGUACACACCGCCCGUCGCUACUACCGAUUGAAUGGUUUAGUGAGAUCUCGGGACUGGAGACGUUGCGCCGCAAGGCACAUCGUCCUCGAGAACUUGAUCAAACUUGAUCAUUUAGAGGAAGUAAAAGUCGUAACA